Non-coding RNA from Photobacterium damselae subsp. damselae CIP 102761, 191 nucleotides. It matches the Rfam family "GcvB RNA". Rfam says of the family: The gcvB gene encodes a small untranslated RNA involved in expression of the dipeptide and oligopeptide transport systems in Escherichia coli. Included several unknown homologues in alignment (Bateman A pers obs). The record is from Rfam. Lineage: Bacteria; Pseudomonadati; Pseudomonadota; Gammaproteobacteria; Vibrionales; Vibrionaceae.
GCAACGCAGGCUAAUGUGUCUCGAUGAUUUCAAUUUGGAAUCCCAUAAGCCUACGCUGCGAUGUUGUGUUUGCAUAUUGUCCGAACCCUGUCGGACUGGUAGAUGAUUCUACCGAUUUACUUCCUGUAUUUUUGACCUGUCUGUCAAAGUUUCUAUUGUUAGCACUGCGCCCCAACGCAGUGCUAUUUUUU